CUUAGUCAAGGCCCUGAGCAGUUCAUGGAGAGCCUGUCUCUAAAUAAAAUAAAAAAUGGGGCUGGGGAUGGGGUUCAGGUGUAAGUCACCUCUGGGUUCAAUUCCUAAUACUGCCCCCUCACCUCCAAAAAAAGUCAAAGUGGACAUAAUUUUGUUUUCUUUUUUCUUUCUUUUUUCAGUGUUUUUACUCAUGCACUGUUGUUAUGAUUGAUUCACACUUAUUCUGUACCUGUCCCCUGCUGCAUAGCCAGGUCCCCUGCUGCAGGCUUGGGGAGGUAUUUUACAAGUGGCUCCUCACAGCUGUGUGCCUGUGUGUGCACGCUUGUGAAUCUCAUUUCCUUUGUUUUCCAGAUCAAGGCCUCAGGCUCAGAAAGAGGCUCCACAGUCAUCCUGCGUCCAGUACUGGCUGAAGGGCAGGGUGACUGCGAGUCCUCUGGUGCUGGGUUACCCCUGCGAUCCUCUGAGCUCUCUGGGGCUCAGUUUCUCAUCUCUAGACCACUCUCCAUCCACCAUAGAAUCUCUCCAUCUUUCCCCCUUUUAUAAUUUGAUGGCUCUUUGAUUCUCUGAGGUGGUUUCUUGGUCACUGCUUUAUGGAGAUCAUGAAAAUGUCACUUCUCCCAAGGGCUAUUUUUCUGUUUCCUAAUGGGGCCUUCAUCUCAGGAGCUUGGCUCCACAAACCUCUCUCUCUCUCUCUUUAAUCGCUCACCACAUCCUGUCCACCCUGGAUUAAUGAGGUUCUGAGAAGGUGGCCCCUUCUCAGGAAUGACACCUUGAGCCAGUUCAUCUGGAAAAUCAACCACAUAAAAGUGCCUGAGAUGAAAGGAGAAAAAUUGUCCUCUUCCACGUAGGAGAGAGGAUACAGAAACACCAUGGAAAUUUGAGCCAUCCAUCAGGUUGCUCCAUCCAGCUUCUCAAAGAAAAGAGCCUAACCGAGAAGAGGAAAAUUGUCUUCCAAAACAAAGGUGGUAGCCCCCUCUGAUCCCAGCAGCUUGGGAGGCUGAGGCAGGAAGAUCGCGAG
This 1018-nucleotide long non-coding RNA is filed under the name Marmota monax (woodchuck). The record is from RNAcentral. Lineage: Eukaryota; Metazoa; Chordata; Mammalia; Rodentia; Sciuridae.